AGGACACGCUGGCGGCGUGCCUAACACAUGCAAGUCGAACGAAGAAUGUUUUCGGAAUAUUCUUAGUGGCGGACGGGUGAGUAACGCGUGAACAAUCUGCCCCGUACAAAGGGAUAGCCUCGGGAAACCGGGAUUAAAACCAUAUAACACUUAACUGCCGCAUGGUAGUGAAGUCAAAUCGAUUAAGAGGUAUGGGAUGAGUUCGCGUCUGAUUAGCUAGUUGGUGAGGUAAGGGCUCACCAAGGCGACGAUCAGUAGCCGGCCUGAGAGGGUGAACGGCCACACUGGAACUGAGACACGGUCCAGACUCCUACGGGAGGCAGCAGUGGGGAAUAUUGCACAAUGGAGGGAACUCUGAUGCAGCGACGCCGCGUGAGUGAAGAAGGUCUUCGGAUCGUAAAACUCUGUCCUUGGUGAAGAAAAGGACGGUAGCCAAGGAGGAAGCCCCGGCUAACUACGUG
This 461-nucleotide ribosomal RNA is filed under the name uncultured bacterium. Its description in RNAcentral is "bacterial SSU rRNA". It matches the Rfam family "Bacterial small subunit ribosomal RNA", at positions 33 to 507 of the family's 1533-position model. The record is from RNAcentral.